Molecule: long non-coding RNA, 1188 nt
Organism: Oreochromis niloticus (Nile tilapia)
Lineage: Eukaryota; Metazoa; Chordata; Actinopteri; Cichliformes; Cichlidae
Exons: 3
Source: RefSeq, a predicted model, not a curated record
AACUAUAUAAAUAUAUCCCUGUGUUGUGUCGUUCUGUUUAUGUUGAGACUGAUGAUUUUGAACGUCGAUAAGUGUUGUUCGGCCAACUGCAAUGACUCACUAAACCGUACUGGCAAUUUCAGCUGCCAGAAAUUAGACGCCCCCAUCUGUCUGCUUUGAGAGUAAAGCUCCCGUUUAUACACUGGCGUUAGGGAUAGCAGACCUCUCAAUGAAUGGAUAAACACGCAGACGCAAGAGACGACAAAGUUAUUACCUACCCUGGAGACAGUUAACGGGGUGCUGAAAUCCCGUCCUCCAACCAGCCGAAAACCCCACGGUGAGGGUCCCUUGAGUGUCACGGUCUGGGUCAUGAUUGCCAAAAAGAAUGUGAGAGAAUAUCAGAUAAAUGACAGGCAGGCUGAGAAGGGGAAGUGUCCGUGGUUCCUCGAUAUACGGAUGAAAACAGGGAACGUGAACUAGCCACAGUCCUAUGCCUAGCUGCUAGGCAACGCUGCCCCGGCUCUGAAAACUUUCCUCCUCGCUUGAUUCAGGUUUAAAUAACAAAGCCGCUUCUGACGUAGGACGAUGGGCUGCCGUGCCCGCCUUCGCCCGGUCCAUAGCAGAGAGUGGGAGGGGACGAUGCUGGGUGUCGUGGCUGCUGCGUGUGGAGACUUCCAGUGGUGAUAUGUCACAUAAGAGGCAGUGUUUGUGCAAACGGAGUGAAUAUAGUGUGCAUGCCAUUAUCAGCUAAAUGUGUUUGACUUGUCAUUCAUUCACUUCUGCUCCCUCUACCUCAAUGAAAAUAACAAAAGGCGGGGCUCAACAGCUGGGUGUAAAGCAAUCAAAGGAAUAUGGAAGAUCAGGACCUGAGCCACUAAUUGUGGGUAGUCAGAUACUUCAAGCUUAUUACAAAAGCAAGCAUAAAUAUUAACAGUACGGCAGUGUGUUAAUGGGGUGUUCACAUGUAGAUUAGUUUAUGUUAUUAUUUAGUUUUAGUUGGAUGAAAUACAUUAACCAUGAUUUUAGAUGAUAAUAAAGCUGGCUAUUAGAAAAGUUUGAUGAGACGGGGUGGUUGGGACGUUUACCUUAUCUAGACAGGAGGAAAAAUUGUUACCUUUCUUUAAGCAUUUCAACUGCAAACACCAGACCAUUUUGCAUUUUUCUAUACAGUUUUGUUCCCCUUCUUUAAUCAUAUUGUUAUUACUUAGC